RNAcentral lists this ribosomal RNA (257 nucleotides) under uncultured prokaryote. RNAcentral describes it as "partial 16S ribosomal RNA". It matches the Rfam family "Bacterial small subunit ribosomal RNA", at positions 355 to 612 of the family's 1533-position model. The record is from RNAcentral.
UGAGGAAUUUUGCACAAUGGGGGCAACCCUGAUGCAGCGACGCCGCGUGCGGGAUGAAGGAGCUUUGCUCUGUAAACCGCUGUCGGAUGGGAAGAAAAGCCCUAUAAAGGGCUGGGACAGUACCAUCAAAGGAAGCACCGGCUAACUACGUGCCAGCAGCCGCGGUAAUACGUAGGGUGCAAGCGUUGUCCGGAUUUACUGGGUGUAAAGGGUGCGCAGGCGGAUCUGUGCGUCGGAGGUUAAAGACCGCGGCUUAA